Molecule: ribosomal RNA, 2902 nt
Filed under: Klebsiella pneumoniae
Lineage: Bacteria; Pseudomonadati; Pseudomonadota; Gammaproteobacteria; Enterobacterales; Enterobacteriaceae
Description: 23S ribosomal RNA
Rfam family: Bacterial large subunit ribosomal RNA
Source: RNAcentral
GGUUAAGCGACUAAGCGUACACGGUGGAUGCCCUGGCAGUCAGAGGCGAUGAAGGACGUGCUAAUCUGCGAAAAGCGUCGGUAAGGUGAUAUGAACCGUUAUAGCCGGCGAUGUCCGAAUGGGGAAACCCAGUGCAAUUCGUUGCACUAUCGUUAACUGAAUACAUAGGUUAACGAGGCGAACCGGGGGAACUGAAACAUCUAAGUACCCCGAGGAAAAGAAAUCAACCGAGAUUCCCCCAGUAGCGGCGAGCGAACGGGGAGCAGCCCAGAGUCUGAAUCAGCUUGUGUGUUAGUGGAACGGUCUGGAAAGUCCGACGGUACAGGGUGAUAGUCCCGUACACCAAAAUGCACAGGCUGUGAACUCGAAGAGUAGGGCGGGACACGUGGUAUCCUGUCUGAAUAUGGGGGGACCAUCCUCCAAGGCUAAAUACUCCUGACUGACCGAUAGUGAACCAGUACCGUGAGGGAAAGGCGAAAAGAACCCCGGCGAGGGGAGUGAAAAAGAACCUGAAACCGUGUACGUACAAGCAGUGGGAGCACCUUCGGGUGUGACUGCGUACCUUUUGUAUAAUGGGUCAGCGACUUAUAUUCUGUAGCAAGGUUAACCGUAUAGGGGAGCCGCAGGGAAACCGAGUCUUAACUGGGCGUUAAGUUGCAGGGUAUAGACCCGAAACCCGGUGAUCUAGCCAUGGGCAGGUUGAAGGUUGGGUAACACUAACUGGAGGACCGAACCGACUAAUGUUGAAAAAUUAGCGGAUGACUUGUGGCUGGGGGUGAAAGGCCAAUCAAACCGGGAGAUAGCUGGUUCUCCCCGAAAGCUAUUUAGGUAGCGCCUCGUGAACUCAUCUUCGGGGGUAGAGCACUGUUUCGGCUAGGGGGUCAUCCCGACUUACCAACCCGAUGCAAACUACGAAUACCGAAGAAUGUUAUCACGGGAGACACACGGCGGGUGCUAACGUCCGUCGUGAAGAGGGAAACAACCCAGACCGCCAGCUAAGGUCCCAAAGUCAUGGUUAAGUGGGAAACGAUGUGGGAAGGCACAGACAGCCAGGAUGUUGGCUUAGAAGCAGCCAUCAUUUAAAGAAAGCGUAAUAGCUCACUGGUCGAGUCGGCCUGCGCGGAAGAUGUAACGGGGCUAAACCAUGCACCGAAGCUGCGGCAGCGACACUAUGUGUUGUUGGGUAGGGGAGCGUUCUGUAAGCCUGCGAAGGUGUGCUGUGAGGCAUGCUGGAGGUAUCAGAAGUGCGAAUGCUGACAUAAGUAACGAUAAAGCGGGUGAAAAGCCCGCUCGCCGGAAGACCAAGGGUUCCUGUCCAACGUUAAUCGGGGCAGGGUGAGUCGACCCCUAAGGCGAGGCCGAAAGGCGUAGUCGAUGGGAAACAGGUUAAUAUUCCUGUACUUGGUGUUACUGCGAAGGGGGGACGGAGAAGGCUAUGUUAGCCGGGCGACGGUUGUCCCGGUUUAAGCAUGUAGGCUGAUUGUCCAGGCAAAUCCGGAUAAUCAAGGCUGAGGUGUGAUGACGAGGCACUACGGUGCUGAAGUAACAAAUGCCCUGCUUCCAGGAAAAGCCUCUAAGCAUCAGGUAACAUCAAAUCGUACCCCAAACCGACACAGGUGGUCAGGUAGAGAAUACCAAGGCGCUUGAGAGAACUCGGGUGAAGGAACUAGGCAAAAUGGUGCCGUAACUUCGGGAGAAGGCACGCUGGUGUGUAGGUGAAGCCCCUGCGGGUGGAGCUGAGACCAGUCGAAGAUACCAGCUGGCUGCAACUGUUUAUUAAAAACACAGCACUGUGCAAACACGAAAGUGGACGUAUACGGUGUGACGCCUGCCCGGUGCCGGAAGGUUAAUUGAUGGGGUUAUCCGUAAGGAGAAGCUCUUGAUCGAAGCCCCGGUAAACGGCGGCCGUAACUAUAACGGUCCUAAGGUAGCGAAAUUCCUUGUCGGGUAAGUUCCGACCUGCACGAAUGGCGUAAUGAUGGCCAGGCUGUCUCCACCCGAGACUCAGUGAAAUUGAACUCGCUGUGAAGAUGCAGUGUACCCGCGGCAAGACGGAAAGACCCCGUGAACCUUUACUAUAGCUUGACACUGAACAUUGAGCCUUGAUGUGUAGGAUAGGUGGGAGGCUUUGAAGCGUGGACGCCAGUCUGCGUGGAGCCAACCUUGAAAUACCACCCUUUAAUGUUUGAUGUUCUAACGUUGGCCCCUUACCGGGGUUGCGGACAGUGUCUGGUGGGUAGUUUGACUGGGGCGGUCUCCUCCCAAAGCGUAACGGAGGAGCACGAAGGUUAGCUAAUCCUGGUCGGACAUCAGGAGGUUAGUGCAAUGGCAUAAGCUAGCUUGACUGCGAGCGUGACGGCGCGAGCAGGUGCGAAAGCAGGUCAUAGUGAUCCGGUGGUUCUGAAUGGAAGGGCCAUCGCUCAACGGAUAAAAGGUACUCCGGGGAUAACAGGCUGAUACCGCCCAAGAGUUCAUAUCGACGGCGGUGUUUGGCACCUCGAUGUCGGCUCAUCACAUCCUGGGGCUGAAGUAGGUCCCAAGGGUAUGGCUGUUCGCCAUUUAAAGUGGUACGCGAGCUGGGUUUAGAACGUCGUGAGACAGUUCGGUCCCUAUCUGCCGUGGGCGCUGGAGAAUUGAGGGGGGCUGCUCCUAGUACGAGAGGACCGGAGUGGACGCAUCACUGGUGUUCGGGUUGUCAUGCCAAUGGCACUGCCCGGUAGCUAAAUGCGGAAGAGAUAAGUGCUGAAAGCAUCUAAGCACGAAACUUGCCCCGAGAUGAGUUCUCCCUGAGACUUUAAGUCUCCUGAAGGAACGUUGAAGACGACGACGUUGAUAGGCCGGGUGUGUAAGCGCAGCGAUGCGUUGAGCUAACCGGUACUAAUGAACCGUGAGGCUUAACCUU